This 77-nucleotide transfer RNA is filed under the name Candidatus Peregrinibacteria bacterium. RNAcentral's name for it is "tRNA-Val". It matches the Rfam family "tRNA". From Rfam's summary of the family: Transfer RNA (tRNA) molecules are approximately 80 nucleotides in length. Their secondary structure includes four short double-helical elements and three loops (D, anti-codon, and T loops). RNAcentral also lists the same sequence under 1 other name. The record is from RNAcentral. Lineage: Bacteria; Candidatus Peregrinibacteriota.
GGGUGAUUAGCUCAGUUGGUGAGAGCAUCUGCCUUACAAGCAGGGGGUCAUUGGUUCGAAUCCAAUAUCACCCACCA